CAUAAGUAAGAUCUAUUCAUAGUUGGUCAGUCCCCCACGGCAGGGCUUCUCGCUUUUCAUGAAUGUGUCUCCCCCUCUGCUUAUGUGAGUUUUACCCGCCUUUUACUCUGCUUGCUUCUGACUCCCUAUGAGCCCUUACUUUUUCGGAGGGUCGGCGGGACAUGGGAGCCUCAGCUCAUGCAUCGGUUUACCGAAAUAACCUCUUCUCUCCCACUUCCUUCUAUUCAAAAGGCGAGCAGCCCUUAAACAAAAAGGCCUAAGAGGGUUCUUCUUUUUAUAUAUUACAUAAGCCCUAAAGUAGGUAGCCCCGAAAGCCGAACUCAGCAGAGUGGGUUUUGGCGUGUAUCUCCCCCUCUACUUAUGUGAGUUUUACCCGCCUUUUACUCUGCUUGCUUCUGACUCCCUAUGAGCCCUUACUUUUUCGGAGGGUCGGCGGGACAUGGGAGCCUCAGCUCAUGCAUCGGUUUACCGAAAUAACCUCUUCUCUCCCACUUCCUUCUAUUCAAAAGGCGA
This 513-nucleotide long non-coding RNA is filed under the name Nicotiana benthamiana. RNAcentral's name for it is "long non-coding RNA (NBEN_LNC028333)". The record is from RNAcentral. Lineage: Eukaryota; Viridiplantae; Streptophyta; Magnoliopsida; Solanales; Solanaceae.